AACGAACGCUGGCGGCAUGCCUAACACAUGCAAGUCGAACGAGAUCCUUCGGGGUCUAGUGGCGCACGGGUGCGUAACGCGUGGGAAUCUGCCCUUAGGUUCGGAAUAACAGUUAGAAAUGACUGCUAAUACCGGAUGAUGACGUUAAGUCCAAAGAUUUAUCGCCUGAGGAUGAGCCCGCGUAGGAUUAGCUAGUUGGUGUGGUAAAGGCGCACCAAGGCGACGAUCCUUAGCUGGUCUGAGAGGAUGAUCAGCCACACUGGGACUGAGACACGGCCCAGACUCCUACGGGAAGCAGCAGUGGGGAAUAUUGGACAAUGGGCGCAAGCCUGAUCCAGCAAUGCCGCGUGAGUGAUGAAGGCCUUAGGGUUGUAAAGCUCUUUUACCCGGGAUGAUAAUGACAGUACCGGGAGAAUAAGCCCCGGCUAACUCCGUG
RNAcentral lists this ribosomal RNA (436 nucleotides) under uncultured bacterium. Its description in RNAcentral is "partial 16S ribosomal RNA". It matches the Rfam family "Bacterial small subunit ribosomal RNA", at positions 29 to 507 of the family's 1533-position model. The record is from RNAcentral.